Long non-coding RNA from Crotalus tigris (Tiger rattlesnake), 652 nucleotides. RefSeq lists it as uncharacterized. The record is from RefSeq and is a predicted model, not a curated record. NCBI's taxonomy places the organism in Eukaryota, Metazoa, Chordata, Lepidosauria, Squamata, Viperidae. The transcript is spliced from 3 exons.
UUUCAUAGUGAGGAAAUAAAGACACCUUUAAUGCAAUACUGGAGGAUGGGACCUUUUUAACAACAUGGAAAUUACAUUAUAUAAAUUUAAUCUUUUCUCUCUUUAGGGAAGAAAAGUGAAGGGGCUCGCUAAUGAAACACCAGGCAGGCAACCUUCAAACUUACCUUAUUUCAUUUCUGCGGCUCCUUUGAAGGUGGGGGUAGGGAAUAUGAUUUAUUAUUUAUUAAAAUUAUUAAGAUGGGGUAGUCAUAUCUCUCUUUCUCCCCCGCCCCCCCUUUCUCAGGGAUGGAGGAGUUUUGGCAAGCCCGGAGAUGACAACGAAGAUGUAGAGAGGAGGAGAUUAAACGCCUCAAUUCUUGCAAGCCUUUCUUCAGCUUAAGGCACAAGGUUCCAUGCUCCUAAGAAAAAUCCUGGGAAAAAAAGGCAUUUCGUAUCUUUGGGGGUUACGUUUUCUCCGCUUUUUGAGGAAUCAAAGAGGGGCUGCAGCACCCAGCUGCUGCUGGAAAACGGACAUUUCUGCUGGACCCCAUCUAGCCUCGACCUCUGGAUCGGAAAUUUGUGGGGUUUGCACCUCCAGCCUCAAGGAUGGAGAUGUUUUGAAGCCAGUUUCCUGAGUUGGAACCUCCUUCAAUGGCAGGUCACUUCGUCACCG